GCAAUACUUUACAAGUUUAAUUUCAAAUCUGUUUGAUAAAUAUUUCUAAUUACAUUACAUUUCCAUUCCCCCUAAAAUGUAUCUUAAAACCCAUUUCUUUCUUCUAGCAUCGGUCUUUAUGGUCAGCCUAGUAACACCUUCUACUGGAUCUGGUGGCUCUCAUGGUUCUCCUGAUUCUGAUGGUAAUAUAAACUGUGUAAAUUGUAAGGGUUGUACAAACUGCACCAACUGUAUCAAUUGUAUAAAUUGUCAUGGCUGUGAAGAUUGCUCCGACUGUACGCGUUGUGUAAACUGUUCUGGUAACAGUUCAAUUCUUACGGAUUGUUCAAAUUGUGUGAACUGUUCCAGUUGUACAAAUUGUUCAGAUUGUAAAAACUCUUCCAGUUGUACAGACUCUAAAAAUUGCAACGAUUCUAGCAGCCUCACAAACUGCACAAAUUGUUCAAACUGUACAAGUUGUACAAAAUGUACAGAUUGUCAAAACUGUGAUAGUUGUACAAAUGUCCAAAAUUCUGCUAAUUGUAAGAGUCGUACAGGCUGUUCACAUUGUCAAUGUUGAAUUCCGGUAUCGAUGCAUAUUGCUGUAACCUAAAAAGAUAUGGAAUUGACGAUUAAACAAAUGUCCAAGGAGAGCAAGUUGAAAAGAUUGACGCAUUGUCCAAUGAUAUUUUCAUUAAUGUCUUUUAGUCCUUUGGCCCUCUCGAUUGAUAUUGGAUGCAUCAUAUUUCUAUUUGCCGUUUGGUAAUCAACCAUCCCUUUCGAAAAACAGUUUUUUGGGAUUUUUCUUUGAUUUUUUGAACCGUAUCUUGAUUUUGCUCUUUCUACAAAUGAUUUUAAUGCUAAUUGUAAUCAAAACCCUUAAAUAUAUUCUUAUCUCGCCAAUGAUAGAGCGAAAUAAUAAAAAUCGAUUCAUCAGUAA
Tetranychus urticae (two-spotted spider mite) is the source of this 919-nucleotide long non-coding RNA. RefSeq lists it as uncharacterized. The record is from RefSeq and is a predicted model, not a curated record. NCBI's taxonomy places the organism in Eukaryota, Metazoa, Arthropoda, Arachnida, Trombidiformes, Tetranychidae.